RNAcentral lists this transfer RNA (73 nucleotides) under Bos taurus (domestic cattle). It matches the Rfam family "tRNA". Rfam says of the family: Transfer RNA (tRNA) molecules are approximately 80 nucleotides in length. Their secondary structure includes four short double-helical elements and three loops (D, anti-codon, and T loops). Further hydrogen bonds mediate the characteristic L-shaped molecular structure. tRNAs have two regions of fundamental functional importance: the anti-codon, which is responsible for specific mRNA codon recognition, and the 3' end, to which the tRNAs corresponding amino acid is attached (by aminoacyl-tRNA synthetases). tRNAs cope with the degeneracy of the genetic code in two manners: having more than one tRNA (with a specific anti-codon) for a particular amino acid; and 'wobble' base-pairing, i.e. permitting non-standard base-pairing at the 3rd anti-codon position. Lineage: Eukaryota; Metazoa; Chordata; Mammalia; Artiodactyla; Bovidae. RNAcentral also lists the same sequence under 1 other name. The record is from Rfam by way of RNAcentral.
UCCCUGGUGGUCCAGUGGCUAAGACCCUGUGCUUCCAACGCAGGGAGCCCAGGUUUGAUCCCUGUUCAGGGAA